UAAGAAGUCAUUCGCCGGAUCAUGCACAUUUUUCUAGUUAUAACAAAAAAAGUGCAGUUGGGUGGAUCCAAUCUAUUCUUUGAAAUAAACAACUAAAAACACCUUUUUUCCUAUUUUUCAUCAUAAAGAGAAUUCAAGUCAUUUUAUCGACAUGAGUGUUCUAUAUCGAAAAAAUUCUAAUUUCCCUAUUAACAUAGUGGUAGAAAGAAUACUAGACUGCGUAGAAACUUCAAACUCGUUAGCUUUAACCAUAGUAAUGUUCCAAAAUUCUUGGUUGAUAGAGAAUCAAAGUAGAUUUACCAAUGAAUCGCGAAAUGCUAUGGUUCUUAACUACUUUUUUCGUUAUUUAGUGAGAAGUCAUUCGCCGGAUCAUGCACAUUUUUCUAGUUAUAACAAAAAAAGUGCAGUUGGGUGGAUCCAAUCUAUUCUUUGAAAUAAACAACUCGCACACACUCCCUUUCCAAAAAAAAUCAAUACACCAAGCACUGCACUUAGAUUUAUUAGAUUUGUUGCUAAAAUAUCGGUAUCAAACCCGAAACUUCCGUCGGUUAUAUUUUGCAUAUGAUCGCAUCUCCUCUUAUGGAUAGACUAAUUUUCUUUCUACGAUUCCAAGUUUUUUUUAUUCGUUUUUGUAUAUGAUAGUUUAUUCUAUAAUCGAAUUAUUGAAUAUGAAUAUAUCGACUUAUUCUAUUUUUAUUCUUACUAAUAAUGAAAAGUAGUAAGAAUAAAAAUAUACUAAGAAGACUAUUCUAUAUUUUGAAUUGGUUAGUCAAUUGAAAGAUUCCCUAUAAGAAUUAUACUUCUUAGAAGUAAAUACUUAGUUGUUUUCAACACUUUCUAAAUA
RNAcentral lists this long non-coding RNA (844 nucleotides) under Lathyrus oleraceus (garden pea). RNAcentral's name for it is "Pisum sativum (pea) long non-coding RNA (PSAT_LNC035224)". The record is from RNAcentral. Lineage: Eukaryota; Viridiplantae; Streptophyta; Magnoliopsida; Fabales; Fabaceae.